RNAcentral lists this ribosomal RNA (449 nucleotides) under uncultured bacterium. RNAcentral describes it as "bacterial SSU rRNA". It matches the Rfam family "Bacterial small subunit ribosomal RNA", at positions 330 to 793 of the family's 1533-position model. The record is from RNAcentral.
UCCAGACUCCUACGGGAGGCAGCAGUGGGGAAUAUUGGACAAUGGGGGGAACCCUGAUCCAGCGACGCCGCGUGAGUGAAGAAGUAUUUCGGUAUGUAAAGCUCUAUCAGCAGGGAAGAAAGAAAUGACGGUACCUGACUAAGAAGCCCCGGCUAACUACGUGCCAGCAGCCGCGGUAAUACGUAGGGGGCAAGCGUUAUCCGGAUUUACUGGGUGUAAAGGGAGCGUAGACGGCGAUGCAAGCCAGAUGUGAAAGCCCGGGGCUCAACCCCGGGACUGCAUUUGGAACUGUGUGGCUGGAGUGUCGGAGAGGCAGGCGGAAUUCCUAGUGUAGCGGUGAAAUGCGUAGAUAUUAGGAGGAACACCAGUGGCGAAGGCGGCCUGCUGGACGAUGACUGACGUUGAGGCUCGAAAGCGUGGGGAGCAAACAGGAUUAGAUACCCCGGUAU